CUACGAUGGUUGUAACGGGUACGGGGAAUUAGGGUUCGAUUCCGGAGAGGCGGCCUGAGAAACGGCCGCCACUUCCAAGGAAGGCAGCAGGCGCGUAAAUUAUCCAAUCCCAAUUCGGGGAGAUAGUGACAAGAAAUACUGAUGUAGGGGCUUCUGGUCCUUACUAUUGGAAUGAGAGCAAUGUAAAAACCUCAUCGAGGAACUAUUGGAGGGCAAGUCUGGUGCCAGCAGCCGCGGUAAUUCCAGCUCCAAGAGUGUAUAUUAAAGUUGUUGCGGUUAAAAAGCUCGUAGUUGACUUUAGGACUUGAGUACAUCGGUACUUCGUAGCUGUAAAAGGUUGCGGGGAAUUAAUGCCGGGUAAUUAUCUUGUCCUAUUCUGGGAGACAUUAAAACACGGUAGAAAAUACUGUGGUUUCUUAGGAUUUACUUUGAAUGAAUUAGAGUGUUUAAAGCAGACGAAAUCCGUCUUGAAUAAUUUAGCAUGGGAUAAUGAAAUAUGACCAUUUGCUCACGAUUCGUUGGUUUCUAGAGCAUUGGUAAUGACUAAUAGGGAUGGUCGGGGUCGUCCAUAUUCUGCGGUCAGAGGUGAAAUUCUAAGACCCGCAGAGGAUGAACAAAUGCGAAGGCAUUCGACAAGGACGUCUUCAUUAAUCAAGAACGAAAGUUAAGGGAUCGAAGAUGAUCAGAUACCGUCGUAGUCUUAACUGUAAACUAUGCAGACUCAGGAUCGGAGGAUGUUAUAUGGAUGACUCUUCUGGCACUGUGAGCGAAAGCAUAAGUAUUCGUGCUCCGGGGGGAGUAUGGUCGCAAGGCUGAAACUUAAAGGAAUUGACGGAAGGACACCACCAGGUGUGGAAUCUGCGGCUUAAUUUGACCCAACACGGGAAAACUCACCUGGUCCGGACACAGUGAGGAUUGACAGAUUGAUAGCUCUUUCUUGAUUUUGUGGAAGCCGGUGCAUGGCCGUUUUUAGUUGGUGGAGUGAUUUGUCUGCUUAAGUGCGAUAACGAACGAGACCUCGAUCUAUUAAAUAGGGGCGUGAACAGGGGAGUUCUCAUAGGAUAUCUAGGCCUAGCUUGGGUGUUCAUUAGAGCUAGUCUGGGGAAGCUCGAGGCAAAAACAGGUCUGUGAUGCCGCUCGAUGUCCAGGGCUGCACGCGCAUUACACUGAAGUGUGCAACAAGUAGAAGUAAAAAAUGUCCUAGCGCGUUGGCGUGUAGGAAAUCUUAGAAAGCAUUUCGUGAUAGGGAUUGUGUAUUGAAACUAUUACACAUGAACGAGGAAUACCUAGUAAGGGUGAGUCAUCAACUUGCCCUGAUUACGUCCCUGUCCUUUGUACACACCGCCCGUCGCUUCUACCGAUUGGAUAACUCGAUGAGGACUCGGGACGAGGAGGAUUUCGCUAGGCCGAAAGGUUUUGGUGAGCUUCUUUGAAACCUGUUCGAAUCUCGUUGUUUAGAGGAAGAAGAAGUCGUA
Molecule: ribosomal RNA, 1475 nt
Filed under: uncultured soil eukaryote
Lineage: Eukaryota
Description: SSU rRNA
Rfam family: Eukaryotic small subunit ribosomal RNA
Source: RNAcentral